GAUGAACGCUGGCGGCAGGCCUAACACAUGCAAGUCGAGCGCCCUUUCGGGGGAGCUGCGGACUGGUGAGUAACGCAUGGGAAUAUGCCCUUCUCUACGGAAUAGCCUCGGGAAACUGAGAGUAAUACCGUAUACGCCCUGUGAGGGGAAGAUUUAUCGGGGAAGGAUUAGCCCGCGUUGGAUUAGGUAGUUGGUGGGGUGAUGGCCUACCAAGCCGACGAUCCAUAGCUGGGUGGAGAGGAUGAUCAGCCACACUGGGACUGAGACACGGACUAGACUCGGACGGGAGGCAGCAGUGGGGAAUCUUAGAGGAUGGGGGCAAACCUGAUCUCGCCAUGCGGGGUGAGUGAUGAAGGGCUUAGGGUUGUAAAGCUCUCUCAGAUGGGACGAUAAUGACGGUACCAGCAGAAGAAGCCCCGGCUAACUACGUG
This 431-nucleotide ribosomal RNA is filed under the name uncultured bacterium. RNAcentral describes it as "partial 16S ribosomal RNA". It matches the Rfam family "Bacterial small subunit ribosomal RNA", at positions 28 to 507 of the family's 1533-position model. The record is from RNAcentral.